GUGCUAUGAAGAAACAGAACUCUCUCACUGAAUGUAACAUGUGGUUCACCUACAUUAUCAGAGCACA
Molecule: small nucleolar RNA, 67 nt
Filed under: Dictyocaulus viviparus (bovine lungworm)
Lineage: Eukaryota; Metazoa; Nematoda; Chromadorea; Rhabditida; Metastrongylidae
Description: Nematode snoRNA ceN114
Rfam family: Nematode snoRNA ceN114
Source: Rfam by way of RNAcentral